Molecule: long non-coding RNA, 979 nt
Organism: Vicia villosa (hairy vetch)
Lineage: Eukaryota; Viridiplantae; Streptophyta; Magnoliopsida; Fabales; Fabaceae
Exons: 4
Source: RefSeq, a predicted model, not a curated record
GUCUACUUUGGGUCUGCACGGUCGGGUUCGGUUGGAUUAAUUGGGCCCGUCGGACCCCGAACCCGACCGAUACUAAUUACUAUAUGUAACAGCUACUGGUAAUGGCCCAAUCCAGUGCAAAGAAUUCUCUGGCCCAAUUGAUUUUCUCAAACCCUAACCUAAUAAACACAACAUACAAAUACCAGAUCUCAGUAAAUUUCCCAAAUCGUUUUCACUUCUUCUUCGCCGCCGCCGCCGUCACCAUGCCUUGAAACCUAACCCUAAACAACUCAUGCAUCUUUGCCGUCACCACUAACCACGCCGCUCUUCCCUCAUCUUCACAUCAUCACUGUAAUCUCAAGCUAGCUGUCUUUGUUUGUCCAACCUCGAACCUCAGCAUUCAACUUCCAAAAUUACGAGCAAGAAGAGCUUUAUGUUCUUUUUAAGGGUUUGUGUUUGGUGAACUCUGUUUGGUGAACGGUUGAAACUUACUAAAGUUUUCAGAAAUUACAUGGCCUUAAAAAAGUGUGAGAUCUAUAUUUUCUGUUAUGUAAGCAAAUUUCUUGUGUUCUGAAAAUAUAUGUAAAUCACUUUACAUGGAAGGGCCUAUGAGAAUGCAGGGAGUUGAGUCUGAAAACGUCUAAUAGCAAGAACAAUUUAUUUUAUCUAUGUUUGAAGUAUUACUGUUAAUAGCCUUUUAAUUAUAAGACUGAGGAUUUAUGACUUAUGUUUCAUAGAAAUUAUGUUGCAGCUUAUCUUAGCAUAAGAUGAAACACAGUGCAGAAUCCAUGUAUAAAGCAAGCAUUUGAUAAUGGAUUUGCUUGCAUGAAUUAGUAUGAUGACAGGAUUUGCUUGCAUGAAUUAGUUGGAGGAAGUAAAUAUGGACAAAACACAUUUUAUCUUACAAUAUGACUAGGAAGGAAAUAUGGACAAAACACAUUUUUCUUACAAUAUGAAUAAAAUUAUAAAAUUUGUCUAUUAUGUUUUCUAAAAUGGCUAU